CAUGCAGUCGAACGGUAACAGGCCGCAAGGUGCUGACGAGUGGCGAACGGGUGAGUAAUGCAUCGGAACGUGCCCAGUCGUGGGGGAUAACGCAGCGAAAGCUGCGCUAAUACCGCAUACGAUCUAUGGAUGAAAGCGGGGGACCGUAAGGCCUCGCGCGAUUGGAGCGGCCGAUGUCAGAUUAGGUAGUUGGUGGGGUAAAGGCUCACCAAGCCGACGAUCUGUAGCUGGUCUGAGAGGACGACCAGCCACACUGGAACUGAGACACGGUCCAGACUCCUACGGGAGGCAGCAGUGGGGAAUUUUGGACAAUGGGCGCAAGCCUGAUCCAGCAAUGCCGCGUGCAGGAAGAAGGCCUUCGGGUUGUAAACUGCUUUUGUACGGAACGAAACGGUCCGGGUUAAUACCCUGGGCUAAUGACGGUACCGUAAGAAUAAGCACCGGCUAACUACGUGCCAGCAGCCGCGGUAAUACGUAGGGUGCAAGCGUUAAUCGGAAUUACUGGGCGUAAAGCGUGCGCAGGCGGUGAUGUAAGACAGUCGUGAAAUCCCCGGGCUCAACCUGGGAAUUGCGAUUGUGACUGCAUCGCUGGAGUGCGGCAGAGGGGGAUGGAAUUCCGCGUGUAGCAGUGAAAUGCGUAGAUAUGCGGAGGAACACCGAUGGCGAAGGCAAUCCCCUGGGCCUGCACUGACNCUCAUGCACGAAAGCGUGGGGAGCA
Molecule: ribosomal RNA, 718 nt
Filed under: uncultured Hydrogenophaga sp.
Lineage: Bacteria; Pseudomonadati; Pseudomonadota; Betaproteobacteria; Burkholderiales; Comamonadaceae
Description: bacterial SSU rRNA
Rfam family: Bacterial small subunit ribosomal RNA
Source: RNAcentral